AGAGUUUGAUCCUGGCUCAGGAUGAACGCUAGCUACAGGCUUAACACAUGCAAGUCGAGGGGAAACGACAUCGAAAGCUUGCUUUUGAUGGGCGCCGACCGGCGCACGGGUGAGUAACGCGUAUCCAACCUGCCCACCACUUGGGGAUAACCUUGCGAAAGUAAGACUAAUACCCAAUGACGUCUCUAGAAGACAUCUGAAGGAGAUUAAAGAUUUAUCGGUGAUGGAUGGGGAUGCGUCUGAUUAGCUUGGUUGGCGGGGUAACGGCCACCAAGGCGACGAUCAGUAGGGGUUCUGAGAGGAAGGUCCCCCANAUUGGAACUGAGACACGGGUCCAAACUCCUACGGGAGCA
RNAcentral lists this ribosomal RNA (353 nucleotides) under uncultured bacterium. RNAcentral describes it as "bacterial SSU rRNA". It matches the Rfam family "Bacterial small subunit ribosomal RNA", at positions 8 to 349 of the family's 1533-position model. The record is from RNAcentral.